CGCACAUUGCGCCUUUUGGUAUUCCGAAAGGCAUGCCUGUUUGAGUGUCAUACAGACUCUCAUAUGCAGUUUUCUGUAUAUGAGUUUUGGACGCUGCCGGUUACGGCUCGUCUUAAAUGUCUAAGUGGAAUGCGUAAUAAGUUUUCGCUCCCUCCACUCUAAUAAACUUUUAGUUUAGACCUCAAAUCAGGUAGGACUACCCGCUGAACUUAA
This 213-nucleotide unclassified non-coding RNA is filed under the name fungal sp. Its description in RNAcentral is "partial contains 5.8S ribosomal RNA, internal transcribed spacer 2, and large subunit ribosomal RNA". The record is from RNAcentral. Lineage: Eukaryota; Fungi.